ACUCCUACGGGAGGCAGCAGUGGGGAAUCUUGGACAAUGGGCGCAAGCCUGAUCCAGCCAUGCCGCGUGAGUGAUGAAGGCCCUAGGGUCGUAAAGCUCUUUCGCCAGAGAUGAUAAUGACAGUAUCUGGUAAAGAAACCCCGGGCUAACUCCGUGCCAGCAGCCGCGGUAAUACGGAGGGGGUUAGCGUUGUUCGGAAUUACUGGGCGUAAAGCGCGCGUAGGCGGACUGGAAAGUUGGGGGUGAAAUCCCGGGGCUCAACCCCGGAACUGCCUCCAAAACUAUCAGUCUAGAGUUCGAGAGAGGUGAGUGGAAUUCCGAGUGUAGAGGUGAAAUUCGUAGAUAUUCGGAGGAACACCAGUGGCGAAGGCGGCUCACUGGCUCGAUACUGACGCUGAGGUGCGAAAGUGUGGGGAGCAAACAGGAUUAGAUACCC
RNAcentral lists this ribosomal RNA (436 nucleotides) under uncultured bacterium. RNAcentral describes it as "bacterial SSU rRNA". It matches the Rfam family "Bacterial small subunit ribosomal RNA", at positions 335 to 787 of the family's 1533-position model. The record is from RNAcentral.